Long non-coding RNA from Gallus gallus (chicken), 529 nucleotides. The record is from Ensembl. NCBI's taxonomy places the organism in Eukaryota, Metazoa, Chordata, Aves, Galliformes, Phasianidae.
AGCUUUCUGAUGCAGUCCUCCAUGCAGGAGGAUUUUACGCUGGGGUAUCUGAGCAUUUGUAUGUGGCAGCCAUCUCUCCUGAAUCCUGUCUUCCUACAAAUCCUCCAUCCUCAUCCUCUUGUGCAGAGCAGCUGUUCAAGCUGAGAAAGGAAGCUUUCAAGCCUUGGACCUUAGAAGACAGGAAACAUGAUCUGGCGUUACAUGCCUUAAGGGUUUUAACCCAGCCUGGACUGCAGGUCUCUGUGGAUGAAGGACUAUCCUUCGUGAAUGGGCCAUGUCUGGCAAUGGAGUCCAGUGACACUGCUGAACAAGAGAGUCAUAGCAGUCUUUUGCUCCUGUUAGCUUUCAAAACACUGAACUGAGCUCAAGUUGAAGAUGAUUUUUAUAACUUAACAUUUUGCUCUCUGUGGUUGCUAGUCCUCCUUAUUACUUUCUUUAGCUUAUUUUCCCUUUGCUGUCUGAAUUGCUUCCUCAAAUUCCACCCACCUUUGGCUUUCCCACUCAGCUGGAAGUAUGCAUCUAAAUGUCG